RNAcentral lists this long non-coding RNA (225 nucleotides) under Ananas comosus (pineapple). RNAcentral's name for it is "long non-coding RNA (ACOM_LNC027530)". Lineage: Eukaryota; Viridiplantae; Streptophyta; Magnoliopsida; Poales; Bromeliaceae. The record is from RNAcentral.
UUCUUCAAAAGCGACUCGCGUUACAACAUUAUAACUCCCGAAUCAUAGAAGCUAAUUCACAUGUCCUCGGAUCGUCCAAGAAAAUUUUCUAACUUUUCAAAUCCAUAGUAGAUCGAGCUACAAACAAACAUGAUCUCUAAUCCACCGUUCAAAUCCUAUAAAAGCAAUAAUUUAAUAGAGGAUAUAGUUUCUCUCUCUUAUAAGAUGGCUCACAAAUUACUCAUA